RNAcentral lists this long non-coding RNA (239 nucleotides) under Lathyrus oleraceus (garden pea). RNAcentral describes it as "Pisum sativum (pea) long non-coding RNA (PSAT_LNC011207)". The record is from RNAcentral. Lineage: Eukaryota; Viridiplantae; Streptophyta; Magnoliopsida; Fabales; Fabaceae.
CCAAUGUUUAUUGGAUACUCUCAAUAUCAAUUCUUGGGGAGAAUAGUAGGUUAUUUUCUUAUUUGACUGAACCUCUAUACAUCGUGGUGUUCAUAUCUUUCCCUUAACUAUUUAUUUUUCUGCUAUUUAUUUUCUACAAAUUAUUUUUCCCAUUGCUGAUUAUUUAAAACAUUUUUAAACUCUGAUUUUACUUCCUACAGUUUUUCAAAAUCACUUUUUUUCUGAACCACAAAAUUCAC